This 1869-nucleotide ribosomal RNA is filed under the name Triticum aestivum (bread wheat). Its description in RNAcentral is "partial small subunit ribosomal RNA". Lineage: Eukaryota; Viridiplantae; Streptophyta; Magnoliopsida; Poales; Poaceae. The record is from RNAcentral.
AUGAAGUAUAUGAAGCUUGGAGCAAAGCCAGAUGUCUUUCAGACAGAGGGGAAUAUCAGGUUUGUGGCAACUGAACUGGCGACGGAUAUUGUUAUCACUGUAGGAGAUGUCAAGUUUUAUCUUCAUAAGUUCCCACUUUUGUCCAAGAGUUCCCGUCUGCAAACAUUGGUUGCCUCCACGGACGAGGAAGGCAACGAUGAAGUAGACAUUUCUGACAUCCCCGGUGGACCUUCAGCAUUUGAAAUCUGUGCAAAGUUCUGCUAUGGUAUGACCGUCACGCUGAACGCGUACAACGUCCUCGCGGCCCGCUGCGCGGCCGAGUUUCUCGAAAUGUUCGAGACGAUCGACAAAGGGAACCUCAUCUACAAGAUUGAUGUGUUCCUCUCCUCCAGCAUAUUCCGCACCUGGAAGGACUCGAUCAUCGUGCUGCAGACAACAAGGUCGCUCCUUCCCUGGUCAGAGAACCUGAAGGUGAUCAACCACUGUGUGGACUCCAUCGCGGCCAAGGCUUCCAUCGACCCCUCGGAGGUCGACUGGUCGUACACCUACAACCGGAAGAAGCUGCCGUCGGAGAGCGACCCCGACUCGCACUGGAACGGCGUGAGGAAGCAGCUGACGGUGCCCAGGGACUGGUGGGUGGAGGACAUCUGCGACCUCGAGAUGGGCUUGUACAAGAAGGUGAUCCUGGCCAUCAAGGCCAAGGGGAGAACCGCCGGCGAGGUGGUCGGAGAAGCGCUGCGAGCCUACGCGUACCGAAGGCUGUUCAGCACCUUGGACAGUGCUGCGAGCAACGGGCUUGACUGCACACGGCACCAUGCGGCUCUUGAGACCAUCAUUUCUCUGCUGCCACCUGAGAGAGGCUCCGUCUCCUGCGGCUUCCUGCUCAAGCUGGUGAGAGCGGCGUGCUUACUGGGGUCAGACGAGGCCUUGCGCGGCGACCUGGUAAAGAGGAUCGGCUCGCAGCUGGACAGAGCUUCCGUCUCUGAUCUUCUGAUACCCGCGAGCUCCGACGAGAAUGCUCUCUACAAUGUUGACCUGGUGUCCUCGAUACUGGAGGAGUUCAUGGUGCAGCGCAACGGCGAUGAUGAAGCAUUGGAGGACGGUGAGAGCUACCCGGCCUCUUUGGUCUCUGGCGGCGACUCGGAGCUCGCGUUGGUGAGGCUGGUCGACGGGUAUCUAGCCGAGAUCGCCAAAGACCCCAAUCUCCCUCUCCAAAAGUUCAUCGCCAUCGCUGAAAUGGCGCCCCUCGCGGCUCGGCCGACCCACGAUGGGCUCUACCGCGCCAUUGACAUGUAUCUCAAGGAGCAUCCGAGCCUGACGAAGAGCGAGAAGAAGAGGCUGUGCGGGCUCAUGGACUGCAAGAAGCUGACCGCCGAGGCGAGCUCCCACGCCGUGCAGAACGAGCGCCUCCCUCUGCGCUUGGUCGUGCAGGUCCUCUUCUUCGAGCAGCUCCGAGCAUCGGCCUCCGCCGAGGCGGCAGCGUCUGAUCACCACCCGUCCUCCGCCCUGCGCUCGCUCCUCCCCGGAGAGAACGGCAACUCGUAUGGCAGCUCCAGGUCGGCCGCCACGACGGCCACGACCGAGGACGACCAGUGGGGCGGCGGCAUGGCGCCAGCGUCCGGCGACACCAGCUCCUUCCGGUCGAUGAGCGGCCUGGGCAACAACAAGAGCGGAGGGAACGGCGGCAAGGCGGCGGCCAAGGGCCCGCUGCAGAUGCCGAGGAAGAUGCUGAGCAAGCUGUGGUCCAGCAAGGCGAGCAGCGGGGAGAACAGCGCCGGCUCCGACACGUCGGAGAGCCCCGGCUCCGUCAACCUCGAGGCCGAGACCAAGUCCACGCAUUCGCGGAACACCAGGCAUUCCGUCUCGUAG